UACGAAGGGGGCUAGCGUUGCUCGGAAUGACUGGGCGUAAAGGGCGCGUAGGCGGUCAGCACAAGUCAGUUGUGAAAUCUCCGAGCUUAACUCGGAAAGGUCAACUGAUACUGUGCGACUAGAGUGCAGAAGGGGCAACUGGAAUUCUUGGUGUAGCGGUGAAAUGCGUAGAUAUCAGGAAGAACACCCGUGGCGAAGGCGGCUCUCUGGGACGGUACUGACGCUGAGACGCGAAAGCGUGGGGAGCGAACAGG
This 254-nucleotide ribosomal RNA is filed under the name uncultured bacterium. RNAcentral's name for it is "partial 16S ribosomal RNA". It matches the Rfam family "Bacterial small subunit ribosomal RNA", at positions 524 to 776 of the family's 1533-position model. The record is from RNAcentral.